RNAcentral lists this ribosomal RNA (438 nucleotides) under uncultured bacterium. RNAcentral describes it as "partial 16S ribosomal RNA". It matches the Rfam family "Bacterial small subunit ribosomal RNA", at positions 339 to 795 of the family's 1533-position model. The record is from RNAcentral.
CUACGGGAUGCAGCAGUGGGGAAUAUUGCACAAUGGGCGAAAGCCUGAUGCAGCAACGCCGCGUGAGCGAUGAAGGCCUUCGGGUCGUAAAGCUCUGUCCCCAAGGAAGAUAAUGACGGUACUUGAGGAGGAAGCCCCGGCUAACUACGUGCCAGCAGCCGCGGUAAUACGUAGGGGGCUAGCGUUAUCCGGAAUUACUGGGCGUAAAGGGUGCGUAGGUGGUUUCUUAAGUCAGAGGUGAAAGGCUACGGCUCAACCGUAGUAAGCCUUUGAAACUGAGAAACUUGAGUGCAGGAGAGGAGAGUAGAAUUCCUAGUGUAGCGGUGAAAUGCGUAGAUAUUAGGAGGAAUACCAGUUGCGAAGGCGGCUCUCUGGACUGUAACUGACACUGAGGCACGAAAGCGUGGGGAGCAAACAGGAUUAGAUACCCGGGUAGUC